This 497-nucleotide ribosomal RNA is filed under the name uncultured bacterium. Its description in RNAcentral is "partial 16S ribosomal RNA". It matches the Rfam family "Bacterial small subunit ribosomal RNA", at positions 28 to 507 of the family's 1533-position model. The record is from RNAcentral.
GAUGAACGCUGGCGGCGUGCCUAAUACAUGCCAGUCGAGCGAACAGACGAGGAGCUUGCUCCUCUGACGUUAGCGGCGGACGGGUGAGUAACACGUGGAUAACCUACCUAUAAGACUGGGAUAACUUCGGGAAACCGGAGCUAAUACCGGAUAAUAUAUUGAACCGCAUGGUUCAAUAGUGAAAGACGGUUUUGCUGUCACUUAUAGAUGGAUCCGCGCCGCAUUAGCUAGUUGGUAAGGUAACGGCUUACCAAGGCGACGAUGCGUAGCCGACCUGAGAGGGUGAUCGCCCACACUGGAACUGAGACACGGUCCAGACUCCUACGGGAGGCAGCAGUAGGGAAUCUUCCGCAAUGGGCGAAAGCCUGACGGAGCAACGCCGCGUGAGUGAUGAAGGUCUUCGGAUCGUAAAACUCUGUUAUUAGGGAAGAACAAAUGUGUAAGUAACUAUGCACGUCUUGACGGUACCUAAUCAGAAAGCCACGGCUAACUACGUG